RNAcentral lists this ribosomal RNA (461 nucleotides) under uncultured bacterium. RNAcentral's name for it is "partial 16S ribosomal RNA". It matches the Rfam family "Bacterial small subunit ribosomal RNA", at positions 338 to 795 of the family's 1533-position model. The record is from RNAcentral.
CCUACGGGAGGCAGCAGUGAGGAAUAUUGGUCAAUGGGCGGGAGCCUGAACCAGCCAAGUCGCGUGAGGGAAGACGGUCCUAUGGAUUGUAAACCUCUGUAGGCGGGGAGCAAUGCCGGGCACGCGUGCCCGGAGGGAGAGUACCCGCAGAAUAAGCAUCGGCUAACUCCGUGCCAGCAGCCGCGGUAAUACAGAGGUCUCAAGCGUUGUUCGGAAUCAAUGGGCGUAAAGCGUGCGUAGGCUGUUUCGUAAGUCGUGUGUGAAAGGCGCGGGCUCAACCCGCGGACGGCACAUGAUACUGCGAGACUAGAGUAAUGGAGGGGGAACCGGAAUUCGUGGUGUAGCGGUGAAAUGCUUAGAUAUCACGAAGAACUCCGAUUGCGAAGGCAGCUUACUAAACUGCCACUGACAUUGAUGCUCGAAAGUGUGGGUAUCAAACAGGAUUAGAUACCCUGGUAGUC